This 207-nucleotide long non-coding RNA is filed under the name Elaeis guineensis (African oil palm). RNAcentral's name for it is "long non-coding RNA (EGUI_LNC041331)". The record is from RNAcentral. Lineage: Eukaryota; Viridiplantae; Streptophyta; Magnoliopsida; Arecales; Arecaceae.
CAGGGUUGCAAUGCACUCUUUAAAGAAAGUAUUUAUUGAUUGUUCCUUUAUACAUGAUAACGCUGUUAUGCUGCUCUUUGUUUGCCUCUGUAUUUUGACUCUCCGCUUUAUUGGUACCUAUGGAUGAGUUUGUUUUUAUGGGUGGUCAUUAUACUACUUUUACGUGUAUACGUUAUCAUCUGCCUUCUGCUUCCUAUGUGCAUGCCA